Molecule: ribosomal RNA, 228 nt
Filed under: uncultured crenarchaeote
Lineage: Archaea; Thermoproteati; Thermoproteota
Description: partial 16S ribosomal RNA
Rfam family: Archaeal small subunit ribosomal RNA
Source: RNAcentral
ACGGUGAGGGAUGAAAGCUGGGGGAGCAAACCGGAUUAGAUACCCGGGUAGUCCCAGCUGUAAACUAUGCAAACUCAGUGAUGCAUUGGCUUGUGGCCAAUGCAGUGCUGCAGGGAAGCCGUUAAGUUUGCCGCCUGGGAAGUACGUACGCAAGUAUGAAACUUAAAGGAAUUGGCGGGGGAGCACCACAAGGGGUGAAGCCUGCGGUUCAAUUGGAGUCAACGCCGA